RNAcentral lists this ribosomal RNA (253 nucleotides) under uncultured bacterium. RNAcentral's name for it is "partial 16S ribosomal RNA". It matches the Rfam family "Bacterial small subunit ribosomal RNA", at positions 524 to 776 of the family's 1533-position model. The record is from RNAcentral.
UACGAAGGGGGCUAGCGUUGCUCGGAAUCACUGGGCGUAAAGCGCACGUAGGCGGAUUGCUAAGUCAGGGGUGAAAUCCUGGAGCUCAACUCCAGAACUGCCUUUGAUACUGGCGACCUUGAGUCCGGGAGAGGUGAGUGGAACUGCGAGUGUAGAGGUGAAAUUCGUAGAUAUUCGGAAGAACACCGAUGGCGAAGGCAGCUCUCUGGGACGGUACUGACGCUGAGACGCGAAAGCGUGGGGAGCGAACAGG